AUUAACGUGACGAAUAUUACGAUUAUAGACGGCCUGAUGUCUGAUACCGUUGCGGUAUAUUAUACUGUGAAUCGUAUCGCACAACAAUAAUUGCGCGAACAAACGAUAAUAGCGAGGGUUGUUGUUUCCAAAGGAGAAAAACCCGACGAAAAUCAACAAUUGAUAAACUAUCUUAUACAUGCUUGCUCCUGUAAAUUAAAUCGUCGCAGAGCGCACGCGAUGGGGAUUCACUGCGAAACGAGGAUUGCGCGUACCACAUGAUUGUACGUGGCGUUGAAAUUUUUUUAGUUUUUGAAACGUGUCCAAAACCUUAUUAGUAUGGAUUGGUGUACUUUUGUUAGUCAUCGGAAUAAACAUUCGUGGAAAAGCCGAAUAGGCGAAUUCACCGUAAUUUUACAUUUGAGUCACGUACCGCAAAAUACAACUUGGCAGACUUAGUAUACACACACAUAUAUCCAUGUAUUAUAUGUCUCGGAGCAAUAAUCCAGUUCAACUAACAGAAAACUCAUUCUGGAGCCGGUUUGUUUAAUCUGUCACGCCAUUUCAUUCGCGGUGAACAGGCCUCUUAUUUCGUUCUAAAAAUUUGUGGAGUUGCAACAGGAAAAAAUAUCGUAUUUUUAUAUGCAAUACGAUGGAGGAAGAUUCAUAAGCUCAAUAAAUUAUAGGCCACAAUUAAUUUUGAGUAGAAUUAUCGCUAUGGAAACGGUUUGACUAUUUGUUUCGCUAAGGAUCAUGAGUUUUAAAAUUCAAUUUUGAGUUGUAUAAUUCUACGACAGAACGAGAGCGUCGACAGUGUAUUCCACAAUGGCACUAAUAGAAAAUGUACAGAAAUAAAAUUAUCAUUACGUGUAUCGUUAGUUUGUCCACCCAAAAAUGUUUAUGAAGCCAUGGAUUUUUGGACGUGUUGAAAAAUUUAAAGUAUUAUAUUGGUCAAAAG
Sipha flava (yellow sugarcane aphid) is the source of this 937-nucleotide long non-coding RNA. RefSeq lists it as uncharacterized. The record is from RefSeq and is a predicted model, not a curated record. NCBI's taxonomy places the organism in Eukaryota, Metazoa, Arthropoda, Insecta, Hemiptera, Aphididae. The transcript has 3 exons.